This 497-nucleotide ribosomal RNA is filed under the name uncultured bacterium. Its description in RNAcentral is "partial 16S ribosomal RNA". It matches the Rfam family "Bacterial small subunit ribosomal RNA", at positions 28 to 507 of the family's 1533-position model. The record is from RNAcentral.
GAUGAACGCUGGCGGCGUGCCUAAUACAUGCAAGUCGAGCGAACGGACUAGAAGCUUGCUUUUCUGAUGUUAGCGGCGGACGGGUGAGUAACACGUGGAUAACCUACCUAUAAGACUGGGAUAACUUCGGGAAACCGGAGCUAAUACCGGAUAAUAUUUUGAACCGCAUGGUUCAAAAGUGAAAGACGGUCUUGCUGUCACUUAUAGAUGGAUCCGCGCUGCAUUAGCUAGUUGGUAAGGUAACGGCUUACCAAGGCAACGAUGCAUAGCCGACCUGAGAGGGUGAUCGGCCACACUGGAACUGAGACACGGUCCAGACUCCUACGGGAGGCAGCAGUAGGGAAUCUUCCGCAAUGGGCGAAAGCCUGACGGAGCAACGCCGCGUGAGUGAUGAAGGUCUUCGGAUCGUAAAACUCUGCUAUUAGGGAAGAACAUAUGUGUAAGUAACUGUGCACAUCUUGACGGUACCUAAUCAGAAAGCCACGGCUAACUACGUG